UCUCAUAAACCUAAUAUCAAAUAAACGAGGGUUCUCUCUCAGUGCUAGCAGCUGAUCCCUUUUUCCCUUUCAAGAAAAUUUUCAAGCACUUUCGCCAUUGACAAGCGCUUGAUCCACCAUUUUCAUGCAAACUUUGAAAACUACAAAUACUUCUCCAUCUCCUCUUUCUCGUUUGAUAUUUCAAGGACGUCCAUAUAGAGGGAACUGGCAAAUCUUCUCCAUUUUCAGGUAAAUCUGAAGCAAUCACGUUUUCCUGUAUUCGAAUCACGUGAAGGUCUACAAGUUCCUCCAAAACCAUCAACAUUCGGAUUCAGAGUGUAGACCAAAAAUUCAAAAAUCAAAAUCCCGCUCAAAUCUUACAUAUUUUCAUCUAUAAAUACACUCUUAUUCUUCUGCAAAACCUGGGGGGAAGGAGUCACAGAAAUAUCGCUCAUCUAACUCUAUUGUUUUUCAUCUCUUUAAACACUUGGUAUUUUUCCUCUUGAUCUCGGUUCGUAUCUUUUUCUUUCGAAGAAGGGGGAGAUCUGAAGACUCAAACACUCCAGUUCACUUCCAUAUGGAAGUGCAGGUCUGAGCCCCAAUUACCAACGUUGACUUAUCGAGCAUGCAACAAUCUUUGAUGAAGACGCGGGUGAGCACUUAACAUUUUAGGAUCAUUUUUGUCUUCUUUAGCAUGGAUGACCCGUUUUUUGCAUUUUGAGACUAGCCAGUUGUUGUAUUUAUUUAUAGUCCACUUUUGGGACUUGUACUAAUCUUUUAUUUUGUAGUAGCUCUGUACUUAUGACUUUCAGGUUCUUGAAAAGAUCAGUUGUAUAUAGUUA
Molecule: long non-coding RNA, 821 nt
Organism: Solanum dulcamara
Lineage: Eukaryota; Viridiplantae; Streptophyta; Magnoliopsida; Solanales; Solanaceae
Exons: 2
Source: RefSeq, a predicted model, not a curated record